GUGCUCACUUCAGCAGCACAUAUACUAAAAUUGGAACGAUACAGAGAAGAUUAGUAUGGCCCCUGUGCAAGGAUGACAUGCAAAUUCGUGAAGUGUUCCAUAUUAAA
Molecule: small nuclear RNA, 107 nt
Organism: Gorilla gorilla gorilla (western lowland gorilla)
Lineage: Eukaryota; Metazoa; Chordata; Mammalia; Primates; Hominidae
Source: Ensembl